UACGUAGGGUGCAAGCGUUGUCCGGAAUUAUUGGGCGUAAAGAGCUCGUAGGCGGUCUGUCGCGUCUGCUGUGAAAACUCAGGGCUUAACCCUGAGCUUGCAGUGGGUACGGGCAGACUAGAGUGCGGUAGGGGAGACUGGAAUUCCUGGUGUAGCGGUGAAAUGCGCAGAUAUCAGGAGGAACACCGGUGGCGAAGGCGGGUCUCUGGGCCGUAACUGACGCUGAGGAGCGAA
RNAcentral lists this ribosomal RNA (234 nucleotides) under uncultured bacterium. RNAcentral's name for it is "partial 16S ribosomal RNA". It matches the Rfam family "Bacterial small subunit ribosomal RNA", at positions 524 to 757 of the family's 1533-position model. The record is from RNAcentral.